RNAcentral lists this long non-coding RNA (296 nucleotides) under Helianthus annuus (common sunflower). RNAcentral describes it as "sRNA HanXRQr2_Chr09g0376961". The record is from RNAcentral. Lineage: Eukaryota; Viridiplantae; Streptophyta; Magnoliopsida; Asterales; Asteraceae.
GCAGCCGGACAUACUAGCAAUGCUUAAUAGAGGAAAUGCCCGAUCGUGAAAUUCUGAUAACAGAGCUUUGUUUGAGUUAAGUUUUAGUGGAGUAUCGGCAACGGUAGGAACAGCUAUAACUCCAUCGUCCUGCACACCAGGUCGUGUAUCAAAUGGCAUCAUGUACCUUUAAGAGACUGCGAAGAGCUGCGCGCAUUUCAGUUCUGACCAUGUAGUAAGCUUCAAUAUUUUCAUGUGUGGCUGUAAUUGCUGCAUGAACGCUAUCAGACACAUCAGAUCCUAGCCUGGGCUUGACU